Molecule: ribosomal RNA, 468 nt
Filed under: uncultured bacterium
Lineage: Bacteria
Description: partial 16S ribosomal RNA
Rfam family: Bacterial small subunit ribosomal RNA
Source: RNAcentral
GACGAACGCUGGCGGCGUGCUUAACACAUGCAAGUCGAACGGAAGGGCCCUGCUUUUGUGGGGUGCUCGAGUGGCGAACGGGUGAGUAACACGUGUGUAACCUGCCCUUGACUUUGGGAUAACUUCAGGAAACUGGGGCUAAUACCGGAUAGGAGCUCCUGCUGCAUGGUGGGGGUUGGAAAGUUUCGGCGGUUGGGGAUGGACUCGCGGCUUAUCAGCUUGUUGGUGGGGUAGUGGCUUACCAAGGCUUUGACGGGUAGCCGGCCUGAGAGGGUUACCGGCCACAUUGGGACUGGGAUACGGCCCAGACUCCUACGGGAGGCAGCAGUGGGGAAUAUUGCACAAUGGGCGGAAGCCUGAUGCAGCAACGCCGCGUGCGGGAUGACGGCCUUCGGGUUGUAAACCGCUUUCGCCUGUGACGAAGCGUGAGUGACGGUAAUGGGUAAAGAAGCACCGGCUAACUACGUG